This 274-nucleotide ribosomal RNA is filed under the name uncultured bacterium. RNAcentral describes it as "partial 16S ribosomal RNA". It matches the Rfam family "Archaeal small subunit ribosomal RNA", at positions 473 to 747 of the family's 1478-position model. The record is from RNAcentral.
AAACCAGCACCUCAAGUGGUCAGGAUGAUUAUUGGGCCUAAAGCAUCCGUAGCCGGCUCUGUAAGUUUUCGGUUAAAUCUGUACGCUCAACGUACAGGCUGCCGGGAAUACUGCAGAGCUAGGGAGUGGGAGAGGUAGACGGUACUCGGGAGGAAGGGGUAAAAUCCUUUGAUCUCUCGAUGACCACCUGUGGCGAAGGCGGUCUACCAGAACACGUCCGACGGUGAGGGAUGAAAGCUGGGGGAGCAAACCGGAUUAGAAACCCCAGUAGUCC